This 680-nucleotide ribosomal RNA is filed under the name uncultured bacterium. Its description in RNAcentral is "bacterial SSU rRNA". It matches the Rfam family "Bacterial small subunit ribosomal RNA", at positions 60 to 772 of the family's 1533-position model. The record is from RNAcentral.
AGCCUAGCGAUUGUAAACUUAGUGGCGGACGGGUGAGUAACGCGUGGGUAACCUGCCUUAUACCGGGGGAUAACACUUAGAAAUAGGUGCUAAUACCGCAUAAGCGCACGAGGCUGCAUGGCCUAGUGUGAAAAACUCCGGUGGUAUAAGAUGGACCCGCGUCUGAUUAGCUAGUUGGUGAGGUAACGGCCCACCAAGGCGACGAUCAGUAGCCGGCCUGAGAGGGUGAACGGCCACAUUGGGACUGAGACACGGCCCAAACUCCUACGGGAGGCAGCAGUGGGGAAUAUUGGACAAUGGGGGAAACCCUGAUCCAGCGACGCCGCGUGAGUGAAGAAGUAUUUCGGUAUGUAAAGCUCUAUCAGCAGGGAAGAUAAUGACGGUACCUGACUAAGAAGCCCCGGCUAACUACGUGCCAGCAGCCGCGGUAAUACGUAGGGGGCAAGCGUUAUCCGGAUUUACUGGGUGUAAAGGGAGCGUAGACGGCAUGGCAAGUCUGAUGUGAAAACCCGGGGCUCAACCCCGGGAUUGCAUUGGAAACUGUCAAGCUAGAGUGCAGGAGAGGUAAGUGGAAUUCCUAGUGUAGCGGUGAAAUGCGUAGAUAUUAGGAGGAACACCAGUGGCGAAGGCGGCUUACUGGACUGUAACUGACGUUGAGGCUCGAAAGCGUGGGGAGCAAA